GAUUAAUUAGUUUAAGUAAAAUAAAAAUUUUGUAAGUCUUAGAAUCUAAAAACAUCA
Molecule: transfer RNA, 57 nt
Filed under: Hypsosinga pygmaea
Lineage: Eukaryota; Metazoa; Arthropoda; Arachnida; Araneae; Araneidae
Description: tRNA-Thr
Source: RNAcentral